Molecule: long non-coding RNA, 340 nt
Organism: Prunus mume (Japanese apricot)
Lineage: Eukaryota; Viridiplantae; Streptophyta; Magnoliopsida; Rosales; Rosaceae
Source: RefSeq, a predicted model, not a curated record
CUGCCUCUUUCACAUAGCGCACCUCCCAUUUUUCAUCUUCAUCGGACGACUUCGAAGAAGGAGAGCAAAGGUUUCAGUCUCGCUUCGUCGCCAUGAGAGCCAAGUGGAAGAAGAAGCGCAUGAGGAGGUUGAAGAGGAAGCGCCGAAAGAUGAGGCAGAGAUCUAAGUGAUAGCUUCAGCUGUGCAGCUCUUUCGCAUGGCGUUUCUAUCUUUAGGCUUUUGAGUUUUGUCAGACUUAGUGGUUUGUUAGAAUUAAUAUGAGAAACCCUUGGUGUUCUUAUUUCUAUCUUUCUGCUACAUUUCCUAAUCUUUAAAUGAAAUUUGACCCUUUUUUUUUUUU